CUGUAGCUAGAAUGCCGUACCUGAGCUAUGUGACGAUGCUGCACCUCUAUGAGUCUUUUGGAUGGUGGCGACGUGCGGCUGCUGUCAAACGAGUGCAUUUUGCAGAGGAGUGGAACGAAUUUCACCAUCUACUCACCUUUGAGGCU
RNAcentral lists this non-coding RNA (146 nucleotides) under Bigelowiella natans. The record is from RNAcentral. Lineage: Eukaryota; Cercozoa; Chlorarachniophyceae.